Molecule: long non-coding RNA, 339 nt
Organism: Suricata suricatta (meerkat)
Lineage: Eukaryota; Metazoa; Chordata; Mammalia; Carnivora; Herpestidae
Exons: 3
Source: RefSeq, a predicted model, not a curated record
UGGAGGAGGUGGCUGUUGGGCUGGAUUCCAGGGUUGGCAGGAGCAGGGGGCAGGACCCCUGGGCCCCGGUAGCAGGACCGGUGGGGGGCCUGCAGGCCUGCCCUGGGAGGUAAGGGAGACGUGGAAAGCAGGAGGAGGCACCCGUCCUGACUGACACCCCCCACCCCCGACGCAGGACCAGCCCCAGUCCAGAUGUUCAGCCAAGAUUGUGGAGCCCAACUUUCCUGACAAGACGCUGACAUGUCAGAAGCAGAGGAAGGCCAGGACCCUCAAGCGCAAACUCAAGUCUCAGGCCUUGGGAGACUCUGGGCCUCUCACCUGGUCGCAGCUGGAGCACAU